This 729-nucleotide ribosomal RNA is filed under the name Triticum aestivum (bread wheat). RNAcentral describes it as "partial small subunit ribosomal RNA". Lineage: Eukaryota; Viridiplantae; Streptophyta; Magnoliopsida; Poales; Poaceae. The record is from RNAcentral.
AUGGGCUCCGCUUCCGCUUCUGCGUCCUCGUCGGAGGCGGAGGAGGAGCCCGGCCGCGCUCCGCCACCGCGCAUGACCACGGUCUCGCACCACUACUUCGGCGGCUCCUCGUCCGAGCGCGACCACGACCUCCGCGUCGACAUCGUCGAGAAUAUAGAAGAGGAUUACGGGAUGUUCGUCUGGCCAUGCAGCGUCAUCCUCGCGGAAUACGUGUGGCAGCAGAGGCCACGGUUCUCCCGCUCCAGAGUUGUCGAGCUUGGUGCGGGAACCUCGCUACCGGGUUUAGUAGCUGCAAAGGUUGGAGCACAUGUUACGCUGACAGACAUUGCGCAUAAUACAGAAGUACUGGACAAUAUACAGCAAAUAUGCAGUCUCAAUAACGCGAACUGUACGGUAUUAGGACUUACUUGGGGAGAUUGGGAUGAACCUGUUUUUGAUUUGCACCCUGAUAUUAUUCUCGGAGCCGAUGUGCUUUAUGAUUCAGCAAAGUUUGAUGAUCUCUUCGCGACGGUUACCUUCCUCCUGGAAAAUUCUCCUGGGGCAGUGUUCAUCACCACAUACCACAAUCGCAGUGGUCACCACUUGAUUGAAUUUUUGAUGGUGAAGUGGGGUUUGAAAUGUUUGAAGCUUCUGGACGGCUUCUCUUUCCUUCCUUCUUGCAAGGCUGAUUCACUACAGGGAAAUAUUCAGCUUGUUGAGAUCACACUUGAGAAGGGAAAACCUAAAUGA